RNAcentral lists this ribosomal RNA (468 nucleotides) under uncultured bacterium. RNAcentral describes it as "partial 16S ribosomal RNA". It matches the Rfam family "Bacterial small subunit ribosomal RNA", at positions 28 to 507 of the family's 1533-position model. The record is from RNAcentral.
GACGAACGCUGGCGGCGUGCUUAACACAUGCAAGUCGAACGGAAAGGCCCUGCUUUUGUGGGGUGCUCGAGUGGCGAACGGGUGAGUAACACGUGAGUAACCUGCCCUUGACUUUGGGAUAACUUCAGGAAACUGGGGCUAAUACCGGAUAGGAGCUCCUGCUGCAUGGUGGGGGUUGGAAAGUUUCGGCGGUUGGGGAUGGACUCGCGGCUUAUCAGCUUGUUGGUGGGGUAGUGGCUUACCAAGGCUUUGACGGGUAGCCGGCCUGAGAGGGUGACCGGCCACAUUGGGACUGCGAUACGGCCCAGACUCCUACGGGAGGCAGCAGUGGGGAAUAUUGCACAGUGGGCGGAAGCCUGAUGCAGCAGCGCCGCGUGCGGGAUGACGGCCUUCGGGUUGUAAACCGCUUUCGACUGUGACGAAGCGUGAGUGACGGUAAUGGGUAAAGAAGCACCGGCUAACUACGUG